CGUUCUAUGGCGAAAUGGUAAAGGCAUCGCCGAUCACAAGCGAGGUUGCUGGUUCGAGUCCCGCUGGAACGG
This 72-nucleotide transfer RNA is filed under the name Operophtera brumata (winter moth). It matches the Rfam family "tRNA". Rfam says of the family: Transfer RNA (tRNA) molecules are approximately 80 nucleotides in length. Their secondary structure includes four short double-helical elements and three loops (D, anti-codon, and T loops). Further hydrogen bonds mediate the characteristic L-shaped molecular structure. tRNAs have two regions of fundamental functional importance: the anti-codon, which is responsible for specific mRNA codon recognition, and the 3' end, to which the tRNAs corresponding amino acid is attached (by aminoacyl-tRNA synthetases). tRNAs cope with the degeneracy of the genetic code in two manners: having more than one tRNA (with a specific anti-codon) for a particular amino acid; and 'wobble' base-pairing, i.e. permitting non-standard base-pairing at the 3rd anti-codon position. The record is from Rfam by way of RNAcentral. Lineage: Eukaryota; Metazoa; Arthropoda; Insecta; Lepidoptera; Geometridae.